GCCGUCGUAACUCAGUUGGUAGAGUGUCCGGCUGUUAACCGGGUUGUCACAGGUUCGAGCCCUGUCGACGGCG
RNAcentral lists this transfer RNA (73 nucleotides) under Candidatus Methanophagales archaeon. RNAcentral's name for it is "tRNA-Asn". It matches the Rfam family "tRNA". From Rfam's summary of the family: Transfer RNA (tRNA) molecules are approximately 80 nucleotides in length. The record is from RNAcentral. Lineage: Archaea; Methanobacteriati; Methanobacteriota; Methanomicrobia; Candidatus Methanophagales.